CGCUCGACAAGCCAAAGCACCACAACGCGAAGGUGGCGAGGGGAUGGGAGACGCCUACGCGAAGCGGGUGCUGCUCACUGCAGCUGGCUUACCGCAGCUGGCGACACGGGUAAGUGUUGCUGCUAAGUUCAAUUCUUUUGUUCUUUCUAUUUCGUUGUUUUACUGGGAGAAUUUGCUUACCCUGGUAAACAGUACUCAUGCCAUGCCUUGUGUACUACAUUGUUGCUUUUUAAAAUCAGCUUUUGAGAGUGAGAUUCUCACCGACUGUUGUCACGUUUGUGUUUCUAUGUUAUCCAUUUUGAAGGAUCAGAAAAGGAGUGUGCUAAUAGUUCCUACGACACACAUGAUAUUGUGAUAGGAUCAGCUUGGUUGGACUACCUGAGCUGCUAAACGUGAUCAGCUUGGCUGUCUGAGCUUCCAAUCCACAGUCUUGAUCCUUUUCGCUAUUCAUAUGUAUACUAGAUCAGUGGUUUUUAUUUUCUGCUCAUAUAAUAUGAGAAAAUUUCUUUCUUUUUACUUUAUUCUGCUUACAUUAUAUAACAAGGAAAUGUGGAGUGUUGUUUACAAGUUCACCUUGAUCGUAAUUUGACUGCUUAUGUACGACAACAAAUAAUCAUGUUCCAAAAUCGUGCAUUUCUGGUCAUGAUAAGUGUUUUCCUUUCUAUCUGACUCCAUUCAAGAUACUCUUUUCUGGUCAUGAUAAGUGCUUUGGUGUUUACUGUUUGAUACUCUUUUUAUCUAGCUCAUUAUGAGACUUCCCUUUGUGGGUUGUCAUGAUAAAUGUUUUUCUUUAUGUCUGAGCUCAUUCAAGACUUUUUUGAGUGCUUUAGCGUUUUCUAUUUUCUUAAUAAGAUGUGUGAUUUUACCUAUCUAUUUAGUUAUUUGUACAACAGGCGUAGUCUGAUUUGUUCUGCAUUAGUACAUUGUUCCCAAGCACACGAUAAGGUGUACUUAGACAAAUCUAGCAAGCAAUGUAUCACCAUUUACCAAUCAGACUCAAAAUAGUAAACAAAGAGAAUAAAAAUUAGGGAAUUAGGACUGUGCGGAGUCAUCUUACGAGGGACACGGAGAGAAGAUUUACUGGAUACAUGUGAGUAAAUUGGGGGUUUCUAGCAUUGUGCUUACUCUUAGUGGUGGUUGAUUAAGAAUGCAAGUGGGUAAGUGGGUUCGAGCAGCCUGCUUAAAAUGGUCUAUUUGCUGGUUUGGACUACAUUUGCAUCCCUACAUGUUGAUUGAUGCUAUCAACCACUUAUUUGCAAUUGAUAUUUAAACUUAAAACUUUAGUAGUGUCCUAAAUUGUUGCUUUGGAAAAAUUCAUUUAGCUUCUUCGCUACGGAUGUCUUACCUAUGGGAGUCCAUGUCCCACUUAAAGCUUGUUACCAAUAUGAGGGCAAAAAACGACCCUUGGUUUGCGGAGUAUUUGCUGCGCAUAGGCGGUGGAACUGAGGACACAAAUACUGACGGCGACAUCCGUCUUCCUGACGAGGUAUGUGUGCCUUAUAUUGGGAGUGACAGCGAUCUUGACAACCUAAUAGACUUUGUUUUCCCAAAUCUCAACAAAAAUAUGUCUGAUUCGACCUACAUCACUUCAAGGGCGAUACUAUCAACGCGGAACGAAUGGGUGGAUAUGAUAAAUGUUAAGAUGAUUGAUCGUUUUCAAGGGGAGCAUAUGGUGUACCAUAGUUUCGAUAGCGCCAUGGAUGAUCCCCAUAACUACUACCCACCCGAGUUCCUAAACACACUGACGCCUAAUGGGCUGCCACCACAUGUUUUGAAGCUCAAGAUUGGAUGCCCUGUUAUAUUGCUUCGGAAUAUAGACCCUGCGAAUGGACUUUGCAAUGGCACCAGGCUGAUCGUUCGUGGUUUCCAAAGAAAUAGCAUUGACGCAGAAAUUGUACUGGGUCAACACGCUGGAAAACGGAUUUUCCUGCCGCGUAUACCUCUGUGUCCCUCUGAUGAAGAGAUGUCCCCUUUCCAGUUCAAAAGAAAGCAGUUUCCUGUACGGCUUAGCUUUGCAAUGACGGUUAACAAAGCAUAGGGUCAGACCAUUCCCAACGUUGGUGUAUACUUGCCCGAACCAGUGUUCUCUCAUGGCCAACUAUACGUUGCUCUAUCUAGAGCGACAGCCCGAUCAAACAUAAAAAUUCUUGCAAUCCCACCCGUCGAUGGGAAGAAAACGUUGAGGAAGGGUGUAAGAAAGAACCCCACAGUUGAUUGUGGAACAUAUACUAAGAACAUCGUCUACAAGGAGGUCCUAACAAACUAGACCUACGGUAAGUCUGUUAAAACUCAAUUGUUUGUUUCAAUAAAAAGACACCGACACAAGACUAACACUCAAUUGAUUUUGAUUUUUUUGGGUAGGACUGAGAAGUGGAAUGCUGACAUCUUUUAGACAGUUUGAAAGCAAACCGAGAGGCAUGGGUGUUCAUCAACUCUUACUCCGCGCAUUGCCAGAGUGAGCUGCAAGACACAUGGUUCGCAAUUAAUUCAGGGUGUCUGAAAGGACCAAGUACUUUACAAGAGAUUUAGACGAUAAACGAUAUUACUUUUGAAAGUCAUGUAUUUUUCUAUAAGACUCACGUGUGAAUUCAAACCAGGCAAACAGAACUUAUUAUUCUUAAAUAGGAAUUGGAAAAGUAUAUCUUCUUGCU
Molecule: long non-coding RNA, 2651 nt
Organism: Zea mays
Lineage: Eukaryota; Viridiplantae; Streptophyta; Magnoliopsida; Poales; Poaceae
Exons: 1
Source: RefSeq, marked validated